Molecule: transfer RNA, 85 nt
Filed under: Lautropia mirabilis
Lineage: Bacteria; Pseudomonadati; Pseudomonadota; Betaproteobacteria; Burkholderiales; Burkholderiaceae
Also listed under: 4 other names
Description: tRNA-Leu
Rfam family: tRNA
About the family: Transfer RNA (tRNA) molecules are approximately 80 nucleotides in length.
Source: RNAcentral
GCGGCUGUGGCGAAAUUGGUAGACGCACCAGAUUUAGGUUCUGGCGCCGCAAGGUGUGAAGGUUCGAGUCCUUUCAGCCGCACCA